Molecule: long non-coding RNA, 1101 nt
Filed under: Populus trichocarpa (black cottonwood)
Lineage: Eukaryota; Viridiplantae; Streptophyta; Magnoliopsida; Malpighiales; Salicaceae
Description: long non-coding RNA (PTRI_LNC003672)
Source: RNAcentral
CGAGUUUUUGCUUCUUUUUUCUCUGCAAUGAUCAAUCAACAUCAUUCUUGCCAAUUUCUUUCUCCGGCAAGUUUACUUUGCCUUUAAAUUGUUGCACCAACUGCUGUUCAGCUGUUGUGUUACCGUGAAAACUAGCAAAAACCAGAGUUAUUCUACUAGAUCUCAUCAGUAAUAGAUCUAAUUGUUUAUUGUCGUUAUGAGAUCUCGUCAGUAACAAAUCUAAUUGCUUUGAUUUUAGUACUAGUUAUUCUACUAGAUCUGCUGCUAAACUGAAUCUUUAAUCUCGCCAUUCCUUCAUCUCUAUUUUCUGGGUUGAUUUUAGUUUUCAAUUCAUUUGAAUUUCUGGGUUUAACUCAUCUGACCUUUCUUGGUUUGAUUAGUUAAUGGUUUUGAGUUUCUGGGUUGAUUUCCAAGCUCUGUGGUUCCACGAUUCAGAUCUAGCAAGCUUUGAUAAUUUCCUUGUUCAUAUAAUCUAUAUAAUGAAUAAAACAUGGCGAUUUCUCAAAAAUCUCAGCAAACUCCUUCUAACCAUUCUUUGGAGUAUGUUAUUUCAAUCCUUUUGUUUGGAGCUAAUAGGAAUAGAUACAACGGGCAAUGGGAAAAUGGAGUGUUGAAAGGGAAUGAGGUGUUUGCAUGGCCAUAUGGGAGUUGUUGUCUUGGAAAAUGGAAUAAUAGCAGUAAGGAUUUGAAAGGGCACAAUUGAAUGACACAUUUUAUCCUCUCUCUAUUAAGUUCAUGUGAAUGGUAAGUCUUCGUUUUCAGAUUUCAUGGAGUCUCAGAGUGCUUUUAUUUUGAGCAUAUGACUCUGAUGUUUUCUUCCAUGGUGUUCCAUGUGGGCUUGUUUGAGCUGUGAUGAUAUGGAAUAUGCAGGCUUAGAAGACAAAAGCAGUAAUCUCCACCGCAACUGAUAUUUACUUUUGUAGGAAUAAUGAAUUUUUUGUAGCAAGUUGUGAUAACGUUAUUAAUGCAACAACUGAACUCUCUCUCUCUGUUUCACUAUAGGAAUAAUGAAUUUAUUUCAUUUUUAUUUUAGUUAUAUUAUUAUUUACUACUUGACUGAAAUCAUCAAUAUAUAAUUAGUUAAAAUAUUUUAUUUUAUGA